This 484-nucleotide ribosomal RNA is filed under the name uncultured bacterium. RNAcentral describes it as "partial 16S ribosomal RNA". It matches the Rfam family "Bacterial small subunit ribosomal RNA", at positions 28 to 523 of the family's 1533-position model. The record is from RNAcentral.
GAUGAACGCUGGCGGCGUGCUUAACACAUGCAAGUCGAACGAUGAAGGAGGAGCUUGCUCCUCUGGAUUAGUGGCGAACGGGUGAGUAACACGUGAGCAAUCUGCCCCUGACUCUGGGAUAAGCGUUGGAAACGACGUCUAAUACCGGAUACGAGGCGUGGGGGCAUCCCCAACGCCUGGAAAGAACUUCGGUCCAGGAUGAGCUCGCGGCCUAUCAGCUUGUUGGUGAGGUAACGGCUCACCAAGGCGACGACGGGUAGCCGGCCUGAGAGGGUGACCGGCCACACUGGGACUGAGACACGGCCCAGACUCCUACGGGAGGCAGCAGUGGGGAAUAUUGCACAAUGGGCGCAAGCCUGAUGCAGCAACGCCGCGUGAGGGACGACGGCCUUCGGGUUGUAAACCUCUUUUAGCAGGGAAGAAGCGAAAGUGACGGUACCUGCAGAAAAAGCACCGGCUAACUACGUGCCAGCAGCCGCCGUAA